GACGAAGGGGGCUAGCGUUGUUCGGAAUUACUGGGCGUAAAGCGCGUGUAGGCGGUUGCCUAAGUCGGGUGUGAAAGCCUUGAGCUCAACUCAAGAAUUGCGCUCGGUACUGGGUGACUAGAGGACCGGAGAGGAUAGUGGAAUUCCCAGUGUAGUGGUGAAAUACGUAGAGAUUGGGAAGAACACCAGUGGCGAAGGCGGCUAUCUGGACGGUUUCUGACGCUAAGACGCGAAAGCGUGGGGAGCAAACAGG
RNAcentral lists this ribosomal RNA (253 nucleotides) under uncultured bacterium. RNAcentral describes it as "partial 16S ribosomal RNA". It matches the Rfam family "Bacterial small subunit ribosomal RNA", at positions 524 to 776 of the family's 1533-position model. The record is from RNAcentral.